RNAcentral lists this ribosomal RNA (116 nucleotides) under Lactococcus garvieae. Lineage: Bacteria; Bacillati; Bacillota; Bacilli; Lactobacillales; Streptococcaceae. The record is from RNAcentral. RNAcentral also lists the same sequence under 1 other name.
UUUGGUAUUGAUUGCAUAGGAGAUACACCUGUUCCCAUGUCGAACACAGAAGUUAAGUCCUAUAACGCCGGAAGUAGUUGGGGGUUGCCCCCUGUGAGAUAAGGUAGAUGCCAAGU